This 253-nucleotide ribosomal RNA is filed under the name uncultured bacterium. Its description in RNAcentral is "partial 16S ribosomal RNA". It matches the Rfam family "Bacterial small subunit ribosomal RNA", at positions 524 to 776 of the family's 1533-position model. The record is from RNAcentral.
UACGUAGGGUGCAAGCGUUGUCCGGAAUUAUUGGGCGUAAAGAGCUCGUAGGCGGUCUGUCGCGUCUGCUGUGAAAACUCGGGGCUUAACCCCGGGUCUGCAGUCGAUACGAGCAAACUAGAGUGUUGCAGGGGAGACUGGAAUUCCUGGUGUAGCGGUGAAAUGCGCAGAUAUCAGGAGGAACACCGGUGGCGAAGGCGGGUCUCUGGGCAACAACUGACGCUGAGGAGCGAAAGCCAGGGGAGCAAACGGG